This is a long non-coding RNA of Triplophysa rosa, 1990 nucleotides long. RefSeq lists it as uncharacterized. The transcript has 4 exons. The record is from RefSeq and is a predicted model, not a curated record. Lineage: Eukaryota; Metazoa; Chordata; Actinopteri; Cypriniformes; Nemacheilidae.
CUGUGCGUCAACACUCGUCUCAUUUAUCCUCAUUGAGGAACAAGGACGUCUUAACAUCAGAAGCGAUCUUUUUUAUCAAAUGAAUAUCUUGUUUUCAGGAAGUUGAAACGUUUUACUGGAAACCUCUCUGUUUGGAAAACAACCUUUGUGAAGACCAACGGCUUCUUCCACAGUGGCUGACAGAAAAAACAACGAUUGCUCAACAUUCAGUCGGGGUUGUGCACACUCUCUAGCAAACUCAUUGAAAAUCCAUUUCCAGCCCUCUGGAGACGUCAAAGCCAAACUCUGUCUUGUUAUUCUUGAAUCAUUCUUCAGCGUGUCCGCCAGAUAACAUGCCAUGUCACGGCUUCUCAUCCAUCUCUGCGAGUUCUCCGUGUAACACAGCUUGGGUGUGGAGAAGACUUGUGUGUCGGGAUGUGUGUCUUUGUCAACGGGACAUCAAUCAAUGUCGAGCGGUGAGAAACUCCGACACAUUAACCGCAACUUAUUCAUGCCACAGGGGAAGACCAAUGUUUCCAUGAUAAUGACGGAUGAGAAAUAAAACAACCUCUGUGAUCAUCUUCAUGUAAACACAAACACAAGUCGACCGUGUCAGUUACAAUCUCAAAAUAAUCACAUGAGAAGCAGGAAGACUUCAGCAGGACCUCCACAUAAUCUCAUUCAUGUCACGAGUAACCAAAGUCAAAUCAGCCAGAUCUGGUCUGUAAGCUUGCUUUACGACAGGACAACAAGAAAAAAAGAAUGUCCUUACACGAGAUGUCAUUUCAGCGAGAGCUUCUGGAACGUUUUCAUGAGAAGAUCUGUGUCUUGUGUGUAAGGUGAUGUCAGACAUGUUUUCACAUACAGUCACGCAGAAGUUCGGUUUGGAAUACUACAGAGACAUGUCUCAUGCACAGCGGCAACCUUUGGAUAAAAAUUUUUUCGUCUUUGGAUGGACUGCAGAGGAAGAUUUGAGGUCUAAAGGUUACAAAGCGUUUUAAUUUCAAAACACUUUCCAUCACGUGUUUUCCCUUCAAUCCGCACUUGAUACAAGACCAAUAAAAAGUUACAGCAGCGACCGGCAACGCUUUCCUGGAAUGUUUUCUUUUCCUUUACCUGGCAGGAACAUUCCUGGUUUUCCCAACGUGUGAUCCAACCUGCGAGAGGAAAAACAGCAGGAAACUGUGAAAUACACAGCAAUUGUUGGGAAACUCCGCCCACAGGGUUCAUACGGAGGGGCGAAAUGUGCCGAGGAGGGGGUCGUGGUGGCGAGGUCAUCUCACCUUCUCUGGAGUUCUUUGAUGCGGACCAUCAUGUUGAGAUGCCCCUGCGAAUACUGCUCGAUCACGUCUCGCACGUCGUACGGUUUCCUCGCUUGCUGUGGGACAGAGACGGAGUCGGAGGAAAAGCCAGAGGAAGCAGUGAAAGGGAGGACGGCCUGGCAGCAGAUCGUUUUUGGCAGCGGGAACGCGGCCGAGGAGAAAAACGAGGGAAGGAAAGAGAUGAAGCAAAAUGAUGACUGAGAGUUUAUCUUCUCCCUGAAGCCCUCAAGAUAUCGGGUGACCGGGCACACAGAGUUCACAGUGGGAAAGAAAGACGGAAAGAAAGAAAGAUGAUCUCCAUGUUUUCACGGGCAACAGGAAUAAAUUUGAGAAAGCGACCUCUUUAGGAUUUCUCCACGACCCCGGCCAGAAGACGCCAGAGUCUCCGAGCGUCACGGUCUGAUCCUGUAACCUCUGGCUGUAUAUAACCAGCGGCUGGAUAUCCAAACAUAAAUCAUGAACGUCUUUAACCACAUAAAGAACAGAAGAGAGAGCGAGAUGACACUCUACAAAUGUUUUAACAAUAAAAUAACAUACGACAUACCGUACACAACAUGUGAAUUGUCUGUCCCUGAAUGCCCUCCAUCCUUUAACAUGUGGGAAAAAACAAACAAACAAAAAGAAUGAAAAUAGGUGGCAGGGAUUAGGAGGAGAGAAAUAACAUAUUAAAAGAGAAUGAGAUGUAAUAA